AACGAACGCUGGCGGCAGGCCUAACACAUGCAAGUCGAGCGAAGCCUUCGGGCUUAGCGGCGGACGGGUGAGUAACGCGUGGGAACGUGCCCUUCUCUGCGGAAUAGCCACUGGAAACGGUGAGUAAUACCGCAUACGGCCCUUAGGGGAAAGAUUUAUCGGAGAAGGAUCGGCCCGCGUUAGAUUAGGUAGUUGGUGGGGUAAUGGCCUACCAAGCCUACGAUCUAUAGCUGGUUUGAGAGGAUGAUCAGCCACACUGGGACUGAGACACGGCCCAGACUCCUACGGGAGGCAGCAGUGGGGAAUCGUUAGACAAUGGGGCAACCCUGAUCUAGCCAUGCCGCGUGAGUGAGAAGG
Molecule: ribosomal RNA, 357 nt
Filed under: uncultured bacterium
Lineage: Bacteria
Description: bacterial SSU rRNA
Rfam family: Bacterial small subunit ribosomal RNA
Source: RNAcentral